AAUGUAAAAACAUUUAAGGAUGUGAAAGGUUGUGAUGAUGCAAAGCAAGAACUUGAGGAAGUAGUAGAGUACCUAAAAAAUCCAGCUAAUGUUCAUAUUUCUACUCUACAUGCAUAGGCUUCUUUUUUCCUAGUUUGUUGGAGUUGGUGCUCGACGUGUAAGAUCCUUAUUUAAGCAGCCAAAAAGAAGAACUGACCGCCACCACUGGAGUCACAUGCCACAAACUAGAAAGAGAGAUGUUGCUCUGCUACUGUUCCGAAAGAGAUCAGAAACCAGAAAAUGGGUGAAGUUCGGGUGAGUCUGUUAAGAAGAAAGAAAGGAGAAGAAGAAAGAAAGGAAAAAAUAAAAUAAAAUUAAAAGGUAGCUAAACACGUCGUCUCAACUUCCACGUGGACCACUCAAGUCUGCGUCAGUAAACUAACGUGUCAAGUAUGCACCGUUAGUUCAUCCGUUAGAUGAGAUUUAACAGAAAGACAAACGUGGCCUGUUUUUUGUUAUUUAAAAGACCAAUAUAUCCCUUUUUUAUUGUUAGAGACUGAAAGAGGCUUCGUGAAUAUUAAGAGACUAAAAAAUGUAUUUACUCUUUUUCUUAUCUCCUUUUGCCCUUCAAAAGAUUGUUAAGUUGGGCUGGAUGCUGCUCUCUCUUUUUUAAUUUGGGUUCUGUAAACUUUGCACUC
This is a long non-coding RNA of Gastrolobium bilobum, 677 nucleotides long. RefSeq lists it as uncharacterized. NCBI's taxonomy places the organism in Eukaryota, Viridiplantae, Streptophyta, Magnoliopsida, Fabales, Fabaceae. The record is from RefSeq and is a predicted model, not a curated record. The transcript is spliced from 3 exons.